Molecule: unclassified non-coding RNA, 315 nt
Filed under: plant metagenome
Description: partial contains 5.8S ribosomal RNA, internal transcribed spacer 2, and large subunit ribosomal RNA
Rfam family: 5.8S ribosomal RNA (bases 1-105)
Source: RNAcentral
GAACUGCGAUAAGUAAUGUGAAUUGCAGAAUUCAGUGAAUCAUCGAGUCUUUGAACGCAUAUUGCGCCCCCUGGCAUUCCGGGGGGCAUGCCUGUCCGAGCGUCAUUGCUGCCCUUCAAGCCCGGCUUGUGUGUUGGGUCGUCGUCCCCUCCGGGGGACGGGCCCGAAAGGCAGCGGCGGCACCGCGUCCGGUCCUCGAGCGUAUGGGGCUUUGUCACCCGCUCGAUAAGGACCGGCCGGGCGCCAGCCGGCGUCUCCAACCUUUUUUUCUCAGGUUGACCUCGGAUCAGGUAGGGAUACCCGCUGAACUUAAGC